CCUACGGGAGGCAGCAGUAGGGAAUCUUCCGCAAUGGGCGAAAGCCUGACGGAGCAACGCCGCGUGAGUGAUGAAGGUCUUCGGAUCAUAAAACUCUGUUAUUAGGGAAGAACAAAUGUGUAAGUAACUAUGCACGUCUUGACGGUACCUAAUCAGAAAGCCACGGCUAACUACGUGCCAGCAGCCGCGGUAAUACGUAGGUGGCAAGCGUUAUCCGGAAUUAUUGGGCGUAAAGCACGCGUAGGCGGUUUUUUAAGUCUGAUGUGAAAGCCAGCGGCUCAACCGUGGAGGGUCAUUGGAAACUGGAAAACUUGAGUGCAGAAGAGGAAAGUGGAAUUCCUGGUGUAGCGGUGAAAUGCGUAGAUACCAGGAGGAAC
Molecule: ribosomal RNA, 377 nt
Filed under: uncultured Staphylococcaceae bacterium
Lineage: Bacteria; Bacillati; Bacillota; Bacilli; Caryophanales; Staphylococcaceae
Description: partial 16S ribosomal RNA
Rfam family: Bacterial small subunit ribosomal RNA
Source: RNAcentral